Podarcis muralis (Common wall lizard) is the source of this 539-nucleotide non-coding RNA. The record is from RefSeq and is a predicted model, not a curated record. Lineage: Eukaryota; Metazoa; Chordata; Lepidosauria; Squamata; Lacertidae.
AAUUCACUCAGCUGCUGAGAUGGGCAGAUAUGAGACUUUCCCCUAGGACCAGUUUCCUGAUUUGACAUAGCAACAUCACCACCAGCUGGCAUGGCCCUGUGGUGCUGUCCAAUGACCUCUCGUGCCACAGAGGUUUCCCUGAUGGUGCAUUAAUGGCUCUGAAGGCAGGAAGAAAUGGACCUCUGGGAAUUAACACGGGGGAAAUGGUGGAAAGCAUGAUUAAAGAUAGAAUGACCAAGCAUAUAGAUGAUCUGGUAUUUCUGAAGAAGACAUAAGCAUGGCUUCCACAAAGCCCUGUGAACUGCGUAACAACAUUUUGAUUCUCAACUGCUUCGUCUUUUUGCUGAGCAAUGCUUUGAGAGCCAUCUGCAACGGCAAGCUCCUGACAUACUCAGACAGAAACUAGGAAGAUGAUGCGGCUGAGGGCGUUGCCUCCUGAGAUGCAGGACCUAAUGGAGUUACAAGACAACGGCAGCAUUCAUUAUCAAGAGUGCCUCAUGUCACAUGCCUGCUGAAAGGGUGUGAGGCUUCAGAUAUAA